UACGGGGGGGGCAAGCGUUGUUCGGAAUUACUGGGCGUAAAGGGUUCGUAGGUGGCCAACUAAGUCAUACGUGAAAUCCCUCAGCUUAACUGGGGAACUGCGUCUGAUACUGGUUGGCUUGAGUGCAGGAGAGGAACGCGGAAUUCCAGGUGUAGCGGUGAAAUGCGUAGAUAUCUGGAGGAACACCGGUGGCGAAGGCGGCGUUCUGGACUGCAACUGACACUGAGGAACGAAAGCGUGGGGAGCGAUCCGG
Molecule: ribosomal RNA, 253 nt
Filed under: uncultured bacterium
Lineage: Bacteria
Description: partial 16S ribosomal RNA
Rfam family: Bacterial small subunit ribosomal RNA
Source: RNAcentral